This is a non-coding RNA of Paramuricea clavata, 272 nucleotides long. The record is from the annotation of a GenBank genome assembly. Lineage: Eukaryota; Metazoa; Cnidaria; Anthozoa; Malacalcyonacea; Plexauridae.
GCCGUAAUUCCGAGUAAUGCAACAUCUCACGUGCUCAUAAUUGUCGGCAAUUGUUUAUGAGCGCCUUUGGGUUUACUGAGAAAACUAUUUUAUAUAAAGAUGGAUGGUUUCUUUGAAGUGAAAUUUAUAGUCCGUAUCCUGUAUUUUAUAACGUUUUUUGCCAUGUUUGAAGUCGAGGCUGUUACAAUUGAGUGCAUCAAGUCUGACGAGUGUUCAUGUAAAACAAACACUGCUACACAGCAACAAGAAAUAUCGUUGUGGCCUAUGCAAAG